AAGCUGACGGACACGCCGCGUGAGUGAAGAAGGUUUUCGGAUCGUAAAACUCUGUUGUCAGAGAAGAACAAGUUGGAGAGUAACUGCUCCAGCCUUGACGGUAUCUGACCAGAAAGCCACGGCUAACUACGUGCCAGCAGCCGCGGUAAUACUGUAGGUGGCAAGCGUUGUCCGGAUUUAUUGGGCGUAAAGCGAGCGCAGGCGGUUCCUUAAGUCUGAUGUGAAAGCCCACGGCUCAACCGUGGAAGGUCAUUGGAAACUGGGGAACUUGAGUGCAGAAGAGGAGAGUGGAAUUCCAUGUGUAGCGGUGAAAUGCGUAAAUAUAUGGAGGAACACCAGUGGCGAAGGCGACUCUCUGGUCUGUAACUGACGCUGAGGCUCGAAAGCGUGGGGAGCAAACAGGAUUAGAUACCCUGGUAGUCCACGCCGUAAACGAUGAGUGCUAAGUGUUGGAGGGUUUCCACCCUUCAGUGCUGCAGCUAACGCAUUAAGCACUCCGCCUGGGGAGUACGGCCGCAAGGCUG
Molecule: ribosomal RNA, 524 nt
Filed under: uncultured bacterium
Lineage: Bacteria
Description: bacterial SSU rRNA
Rfam family: Bacterial small subunit ribosomal RNA
Source: RNAcentral